Clostridium sp. CAG:75 is the source of this 367-nucleotide non-coding RNA. It matches the Rfam family "Bacterial RNase P class A". From Rfam's summary of the family: Ribonuclease P (RNase P) is a ubiquitous endoribonuclease, found in archaea, bacteria and eukarya as well as chloroplasts and mitochondria. Its best characterised activity is the generation of mature 5'-ends of tRNAs by cleaving the 5'-leader elements of precursor-tRNAs. Cellular RNase Ps are ribonucleoproteins. The record is from Rfam. NCBI's taxonomy places the organism in Bacteria, Bacillati, Bacillota, Clostridia, Eubacteriales, Clostridiaceae.
UGAGUAGCACAGACAAUCGCGGCUGCAAGUGCCGAAAGGCCGCAGGUGCAAAUGCCGAAAGGCUGCAGGUGAGGAAAGUCCGGGCUUCAUAGGGCAGGAUGCCGGAUAACGUCCGGUGGAGGCGACUCCCAGGCAAGUGCAACAGAAAAUAACCGCCUUUAUAGGUAAGGGUGAAACGGCGAGGUAAGAGCUCACCGCAUUUUUGGUAACAAAAAUGGCAGAUGUAAACCCCAUCCGAAGCAAGACCGAACAGGGAUGAUACGGCGGCCCGUCGUGUUCCGGGUAGGUUGCUUGAACCUGUUGGCAACAGCAGGUCUAGAUAGAUGAUUGUCAAAUACAGAACUCGGCUUAUCGUGCUGCUCAUUAU